GCAUUCCAACUGGUACGUCAUUUGAAUGACCUGCAUCCAGACUGUAUAAAACUUGCACUGACGCAAUUGAGUGACAAGUUCAGCAGUCAUGCGACAAUGCCGAAGAUUUGUGCUUGCAGUGGACAGAACCAUCUUAUCCCUUACCAAAGCAAUAUCCAAGGGGACGGGACAGGCGACGUGAGAAGGCAAUGUUUACAUACAGACAGUUACUACAAAGGUAUCUACGACCAGUUUUACCCAGACAACGGAAACAACGCCCCUUCAUGUAGAACACAUCACUCACUUUGGUAUAACCUUUCCCGGGUGAGCACAGCAGUUAUUGCCGG
Long non-coding RNA from Mya arenaria, 326 nucleotides. RefSeq lists it as uncharacterized. The transcript has 5 exons. NCBI's taxonomy places the organism in Eukaryota, Metazoa, Mollusca, Bivalvia, Myida, Myidae. The record is from RefSeq and is a predicted model, not a curated record.